GUAGGCGGUUCGGUAAGUCCGCCGUGAAAACCUGGGGCUCAACCCCGGGCGUGCGGUGGAUACUGCCGGGCUAGAGGGUGGUAGAGGCGAGUGGAAUUCCNNCGGUGUUAGCGGUGAAAUGCGCAGAUAUCGGGAGGAACACCAGUAGCGAAGGCGGCUCGCUGGGCCAUUCCUGACGCUGAGACGCGAAAGCGUGGGGAGCGAACAGGAUUAGAUACCCUGGUAGUCCACGCCGUAAACGAUGAACACUAGGUGUUGGGGGAGUCGAAUCCCUCGGUGCCGCAGCCAACGCGUUAAGUGUUCCGCCUGGGGAGUACGGCCGCAAGGCUAAAACUCAAAAGAAUUGACGGGGUGCC
Molecule: ribosomal RNA, 356 nt
Filed under: uncultured Rubrobacteraceae bacterium
Lineage: Bacteria; Bacillati; Actinomycetota; Rubrobacteria; Rubrobacterales; Rubrobacteraceae
Description: bacterial SSU rRNA
Rfam family: Bacterial small subunit ribosomal RNA
Source: RNAcentral